CGGCGUGCCUAAUACAUGCAAGUCGAACGCGCAGCGAGAGGUGCUUGCACCUUUCAAGCGAGUGGCGAACGGGGUGAGUAACACGUGGAUAACCUGCCUCAAGGCUGGGGAUAACAUUUGGAAACAGAUGCUAAUACCGAAUAAAACUUAGUAUCGCAUGAUAUCAAGUUAAAAGGCGCUACGGCGUCACCUAGAGAUGGAUCCGCGGUGCAUUAGUUAGUUGGUGGGGUAAAGGCUUACCAAGACGAUGAUGCAUAGCCGAGUUGAGAGACUGAUCGGCCACAUUGGGACUGAGACACGGCCCAAACUCCUACGGGAGGCUGCAGUAGGGAAUCUUCCACAAUGGGCGCAAGCCUGAUGGAGCAACGCCGCGUGUGUGAUGAAGGCUUUCGGGUCGUAAAGCACUGUUGUAUGGGAAGAAAUGCUAAAAUAGGGAAUGAUUUUAGUUUGACGGUACCAUACCAGAAAGGGACGGCUAAAUACGUG
Molecule: ribosomal RNA, 486 nt
Filed under: uncultured bacterium
Lineage: Bacteria
Description: bacterial SSU rRNA
Rfam family: Bacterial small subunit ribosomal RNA
Source: RNAcentral